This 163-nucleotide ribosomal RNA is filed under the name uncultured bacterium. Its description in RNAcentral is "partial 16S ribosomal RNA". It matches the Rfam family "Bacterial small subunit ribosomal RNA", at positions 1338 to 1500 of the family's 1533-position model. The record is from RNAcentral.
GUAAUCGCGGAUCAGAAUGCCGCGGUGAAUACGUUCCCGGGUCUUGUACACACCGCCCGUCACACCAUGGGAGCCGGUAAUGCCCGAAGUCUGUGGCCCAACCGAGAGGGGGGAGCAGCCGAAGGCAGGCCCGGUGACUGGGGUGAAGUCGUAACAAGGUAGC